Dendrobium catenatum is the source of this 1743-nucleotide long non-coding RNA. RefSeq lists it as uncharacterized. The transcript has 3 exons. NCBI's taxonomy places the organism in Eukaryota, Viridiplantae, Streptophyta, Magnoliopsida, Asparagales, Orchidaceae. The record is from RefSeq and is a predicted model, not a curated record.
AGAGGAAGUCUAUGGUAGUUGUAGUGCUCCUCGAGUGCAGCCUAGGGCAUAUAACUUGACUCAAUAGAAAAUAAAUGAGGCUCUAGACAUAGUGACAAGUAUGACAUUGUUGAGAAACCAUGUCAUAUUCUUUUUUAUUUCAAUGCCAUUCAUUCCUUCAUGCAUGAGUGUGUUCUUGAUGAUUUAAGUUUAUUCCCUACUCCAUUAUCUUCUAAAUUGUGCGUUAUGCUACCUACUCAAGAUUUGGUGUUUGUUAUUAAAAUUUGUGCAUGUGAGAUUGAGCUUUCUAAUAAAAAGUUAGCAUUGGAAUUGAUUGUAUUACAUAUGAAAGAAUUUGAUAUUAUAGUUGGAAUGGAUUUGUUAAGCAAGUAUCAAGUUCAAAUUAACUAUAGUAAGAAGCGAGUGAGUUUGUGUGUAGAAAGAGAAAUAUUUUAUUUCGAAGUUGUCAACAGUCCGUUGUCUUCUCUAAUUUUUAUAUUGCAAAUAGAUAAUGUUACGAAGAAGGGGGAUUCUAUAUUUUUGUCCUAUGUAACAAAUCUAAACAAGUUUGUUAAGGGUAUUGAAAAUUUUAUUAUGGUAAAGGAUUUUCUAAAUGUUUUUUUUUUUUAAAGAGCUAUCUCGUUUGCCUCCUAAAAGUGAGGUAGAUUUAUAUAUUGAAGUGGUAUCGGGUAAACCUCUGAUAGCAAGGACUCCUAUCUAAUUUAUGAAGAAGAAGGAUGGGCCUUAAGGAUGCACAUCGAGUAUUCAGAGAUGAAUAAAGUGACUGUGAAAAAUAAGUACCCACUUCUCAAGAUAGUGAUUUUUUAUCAAUUAGAAUGUGUAGCUAUAUUUUCCAAAUUUGACUUGCAUUUUGGUUAUCAUCAAUUGAGGUUGAUGGCUGAAAUUAUGGUGAAGAUAACCUUCAGUACCAUAUAUGGGUAGUUUGAGUUUAUAUUUUUGUCUUUUGGUGUGAAUGCACAGUUGGUAUUUAUGAACAUAAUGCAUUGAGUGUUCAAGGAGUAUCUGGAUAAAUUCAUUUUUUUUUUUGCUUAUUGAUGAUAUCCUGGUGUAUUCAAAGUUUGAAGAAGAACAUACCGUCCAUUUGAGAUUUACUUUAGAAACCUUGAGAUAGUAGAAGAUGUAUGCUUGAAUCUUGAAAUGUGAAUUUUGGUUGACUCAGAAGGCUGUGCCUUUUGAUUGAAUACCAAAAUAAGAAGUAAGUUUCCAUUAGUUGAAGGAAUGUCUAGUGUUGAACCCUAUAUUAAUUAUUUUAUAUAGAGUUGGAGGUUUUGAGAUUUAAAAUGAUGGAUCUCUGAAAGGCUUACGUGUGUUUUGUAGUAAAAAGGGAAGAUAAUUGCUUUUGCAUCUAAAUAUUUAAAGCGACAUGAGAAGAAUUAUUAGGCAUAUGUCUUGGAGUAGGCAACUUUUAUUUUUACAUUGAAAUUUUGGAGCCAACUUUGAUUCAAGUGACCGACAAAUUAGAAUGUAAUACCGAAUUUUGGGGAUACCACCUGAACAGGACUAGGAGAAUGCCUUAGCAUGAGGGAGAUAAGAAAAAAGAGGAGAAGACUCCUACUCAAUAAGGGGCCCUAGACUUAGAUAGUGGAUACCACCUGAACAGGACUAAGGGAAUGCCUAAGCAUGAGUGAGAUAAGAAAAAGGAGGAGGAGACUCUCAGUCAAUGAGGGGUCUUAAACCUCGAAAGCAGAUACCACCUGAACAGAACUAGGGAAAUGCCUCAGCAUGAAGAGGAGAGAGGGAAGA